Molecule: ribosomal RNA, 253 nt
Filed under: uncultured bacterium
Lineage: Bacteria
Description: partial 16S ribosomal RNA
Rfam family: Bacterial small subunit ribosomal RNA
Source: RNAcentral
UACGAAGGGGGCUAGCGUUGUUCGGAUUUACUGGGCGUAAAGCGCACGUAGGCGGACUAUUAAGUCAGGGGUGAAAUCCCGGGGCUCAACCCCGGAACUGCCUUUGAUACUGGUAGUCUUGAGUUCGAGAGGGGUGAGUGGAAUUCCGAGUGUAGAGGUGAAAUUCGUAGAUAUUCGGAGGAACACCAGUGGCGAAGGCGGCUCACUGGCUCGAUACUGACGCUGAGGUGCGAAAGCGUGGGGAGCAAACAGG